This 1332-nucleotide ribosomal RNA is filed under the name uncultured bacterium. RNAcentral describes it as "bacterial SSU rRNA". It matches the Rfam family "Bacterial small subunit ribosomal RNA", at positions 28 to 1381 of the family's 1533-position model. The record is from RNAcentral.
GACGAACGCUGGCGGCGCGCCUAACACAUGCAAGUCGAACGAGCGAGAGAGAGCUUGCUUUCUCGAGCGAGUGGCGAACGGGUGAGUAACGCGUGAGGAACCUGCCUCAAAGAGGGGGACAACAGUUGGAAACGACUGCUAAUACCGCAUAAGCCCACGGCUCGGCAUCGAGCAGAGGGAAAAGGAGCAAUCCGCUUUGAGAUGGCCUCGCGUCCGAUUAGCUAGUUGGUGAGGUAACGGCCCACCAAGGCAACGAUCGGUAGCCGGACUGAGAGGUUGAACGGCCACAUUGGGACUGAGACACGGCCCAGACUCCUACGGGAGGCAGCAGUGGGGAAUAUUGCACAAUGGGGGAAACCCUGAUGCAGCGACGCCGCGUGGAGGAAGAAGGUCUUCGGAUUGUAAACUCCUGUUGUUGGGGAAGAUAAUGACGGUACCCAACAAGGAAGUGACGGCUAACUACGUGCCAGCAGCCGCGGUAAAACGUAGGUCACAAGCGUUGUCCGGAAUUACUGGGUGUAAAGGGAGCGCAGGCGGGAAGACAAGUUGGAAGUGAAAUCUAUGGGCUCAACCCAUAAACUGCUUUCAAAACUGUUUUUCUUGAGUAGUGCAGAGGUAGGCGGAAUUCCCGGUGUAGCGGUGGAAUGCGUAGAUAUCGGGAGGAACACCAGUGGCGAAGGCGGCCUACUGGGCACCAACUGACGCUGAGGCUCGAAAGUGUGGGUAGCAAACAGGAUUAGAUACCCUGGUAGUCCACACCGUAAACGAUGAUUACUAGGUGUUGGAGGAUUGACCCCUUCAGUGCCGCAGUUAACACAAUAAGUAAUCCACCUGGGGAGUACGACCGCAAGGUUGAAACUCAAAGGAAUUGACGGGGGCCCGCACAAGCAGUGGAGUAUGUGGUUUAAUUCGACGCAACGCGAAGAACCUUACCAAGUCUUGACAUCCCUUGACAGGCAUAGAAAUAUGUUUUCUCUUCGGAGCAAGGAGACAGGUGGUGCAUGGUUGUCGUCAGCUCGUGUCGUGAGAUGUUGGGUUAAGUCCCGCAACGAGCGCAACCCUUAUGGUCAGUUACUACGCAAGAGGACUCUGGCCAGACUGCCGUUGACAAAACGGAGGAAGGUGGGGAUGACGUCAAAUCAUCAUGCCCUUUAUGACUUGGGCUACACACGUACUACAAUGGCGUUAAACAAAGAGAAGCAAGACCGCGAGGUGGAGCAAAACUCAGAAACAACGUCCCAGUUCGGACUGCAGGCUGCAACUCGCCUGCACGAAGUCGGAAUUGCUAGUAAUCGUGGAUCAGCAUGCCACGGUGAAUACGUUCCCGGGCCU